Long non-coding RNA from Acanthopagrus latus (yellowfin seabream), 825 nucleotides. RefSeq lists it as uncharacterized. The record is from RefSeq and is a predicted model, not a curated record. NCBI's taxonomy places the organism in Eukaryota, Metazoa, Chordata, Actinopteri, Spariformes, Sparidae. The transcript is spliced from 6 exons.
GUUACAUGGUUUAACAUCGGGCAGGAACAGACACUGGGUUCAGACCACAGCGAGGAGAGGAGAUGAGAGCGAGGGAGGAGGGGAGGAGGAGGUCAGACGCAACGGUAAUAUGACUCCUCUGUCCGACUGCCAGAGGAGUCCCUCCCACGAGGAACCCACGGGAGGAGAGAGGAGACGAAGGGAACAUGUGUGAAGAGACAUGGGACGCACCUCAUGACUCUGAGACUACUGUCGCCACCCCUCAUGAGCACAGCCCUGUUCUAUUCUGGUCUGAGUCCAGCAGCAUCUCCUGCGGCUGAGCUGAGGAGCACUCACGAUGGAGCCGUAGUCGAUGCAGAGUGUUUGCAGUGCCCACGGCAGGCCCAGGCCGACCAGGAUGUCAAACACAUUACUGCCUAUGGAGUUGGAGAUGGCCAUGUCUCCCAUACCUGAGGCAAGGAGAGCAACACUGUCAAGCCAUGCAGUCUGGGACGCUGGUGCCUGCUGCGAGGAAGUAUUUUUACUGGAAGAGACCGACUGAACUGACCAUCCAGACCAUGAUGUAGGACAGGCCAGCGAUCCAGACGGUGGCAGUGAAGAAGGAGACCAAGAACCAUCUCUCCCAGCGACGCUUGGCACAGUUGGGCACAGUGAAGAACAGAAGCAGGGACAGCGGCCACAUGACCAUCCACUUUAGCUUGUCACACGCCCCAGCUGGAAGGAAAGGAAGAACAAAGACUCCAGUCGCUGAAGUCUGCACCUCCCGUUCAGACCCUGCUCAGCCCCGCCCAUUCCAUUUUCUAAGCCCCGCCUUCCCUGAGCCCUGGCGCCUGAGUCAGAGUCGCC